AUUUAUAUAAUAUAAACAUUAUAUUUAACUUCCAAUUAAAAAAUCUAACCUCUUAGUAUAAAUA
This 64-nucleotide transfer RNA is filed under the name Cassena terminalis. RNAcentral's name for it is "tRNA-Gly". The record is from RNAcentral. Lineage: Eukaryota; Metazoa; Arthropoda; Insecta; Coleoptera; Chrysomelidae.